RNAcentral lists this transfer RNA (70 nucleotides) under Marmota monax (woodchuck). RNAcentral's name for it is "tRNA.Val". The stretch from base 9 to 65 matches the Rfam family "tRNA", at positions 9 to 63 of the family's 71-position model. From Rfam's summary of the family: Transfer RNA (tRNA) molecules are approximately 80 nucleotides in length. Lineage: Eukaryota; Metazoa; Chordata; Mammalia; Rodentia; Sciuridae. The record is from RNAcentral.
GGGGAUACAGCUCAGUUGGUAGAGUGUCUGCCUCACAAGCACAAGACCCUGGGUUCAAUUCCCAGCACCA